AGUGAACGCUGGCGGCAGGCCUAAUACAUGCAAGUCGAACGGCAGCACAGCAGAGCUUGCUCUGUGGGUGGCGAGUGGCGGACGGGUGAGGAAUACAUGGGAAUCUGCCCAGUCGUGGGGGAUAACGUAGGGAAACUUACGCUAAUACCGCAUGCGCCCUUCGGGGGAAAGCCGGGGACCUUCGGGCCUGGCGCGAUUGGAUGAGCCCAUGUCGGAUUAGCUAGUUGGCGGGGUAAUGGCCCACCAAGGCGACGAUCCGUAGCUGGUCUGAGAGGAUGAUCAGCCACACUGGAACUGAGACACGGUCCAGACUCCUACGGGAGGCAGCAGUAGGGAAUAUUGGACAAUGGGCGCAAGCCUGAUCCAGCCAUGCCGCGUGAGUGAAGAAGGCCCUCGGGUUGUAAAGCUCUUUUGUCCGGAAAGAAAGCGCCGGGUUAAUACCCUAGUGUCCUGACGGUACCGGAAGAAUAAGCACCGGCUAACUUCGUGCCAGCAG
Molecule: ribosomal RNA, 496 nt
Filed under: uncultured bacterium
Lineage: Bacteria
Description: bacterial SSU rRNA
Rfam family: Bacterial small subunit ribosomal RNA
Source: RNAcentral